Molecule: long non-coding RNA, 455 nt
Filed under: Gallus gallus (chicken)
Lineage: Eukaryota; Metazoa; Chordata; Aves; Galliformes; Phasianidae
Source: RNAcentral
UGAUAUGGUAGCAAAUACACGACAGAUGAGUAAUAAACCUUUACAUAAGGUGUUCUGGUCCCGUCUCCAUCUGCAGGGCUCAGACUGAAGUAGAAAAUGGAACAAGAGGAGAGAAAGGUAUUGAGUCAGCUUUACCAUCGCAACGAUGGCAACGCCGCCGAUCAUCAUGCACGUGGGCCAGAAGAGCGAGUGGAACAGCACGUUGGAGCUGUACAGUUUGGUCAAUAUCACGUUCUUCUGAGUGCCCUCAGGAUCAUAGAAGCAGGAGAAGCGUUGAUACUUUCGGAAGUUUUCCAUCACAACGUUCACCAUUGACAUGGAUUCCUCGUAAUUCUUGCCACACUUGGUGUGCUUUGGACCAUGCAUGAAGCUCAGUGGUGCUCUACUCCUUCCAGCAUGGAAUUCCUUUAGCAGAGGUCCUGAAGUCUCUCUGGAUUUCCGUGGAGCUGAACGAC